UGCUGAUCAUAGAGUGAAGCUCCAGGAAUUAGAGAGUCUUAUAGCAAACCUUGGAACUGGGGAUGAGAUGGUGACAGAUCAAGCCUUCGAGGAUAGACUAAAGGAAGCAGAGAGGGAAGUUAUGGACCUCCUUCGUGAGGCCCAGGAUGUCAAAGGUACGCAUGAUUGAACAGUGCGUGACUUCUGUGAGAUGGACCAAUCUUUAGAUGUGGCUCCUAAAGCAAGAUGUUGACCAGAAUUUGAUGGAUCGCCUACAGAGAGUGAAUAACACUCUGUCCAGCCAAAUUAGCCGUUUACAGAAUAUCCGGAAUACCAUUGAAGAGACUGGAAACUUGGCUGAACAAGCACGUGCCCAUGUAGAGAACACAGAGCGGUUGAUUGAAAUCGCAUCCAGAGAACUUGAGAAAGCAAAAGUCGCUGCUGCCAAUGUGUCAGUCACUCAGCCAGAAUCUACCGGGGACCCAAACAACAUGACUCUUUUGGCAGAAGAGGCUCGAAAGCUUGCUGAACGUCAUAAACAGGAAGCUGAUGACAUUGUUCGAGUGGCAAAGACAGCCAAUGAUACAUCAACUGAGGCAUACAACCUGCUUUUGAGGACACUGGCAGGAGAAAAUCAAACAGCAUUUGAGAUUGAAGAGCUUAAUAGGAAGUAUGAACAAGUGAAGAACAUCUCACAGGAUCUGGAAAAACAAGCUGCCCGAGUACAUGAGGAGGCCAAAAGGGCUGGUGACAAAGCUGUGGAGAUCUAUGCCAGCGUGGCUCAGCUGAGCCCUUUGGACUCU
This 782-nucleotide small RNA is filed under the name Pongo abelii (Sumatran orangutan). RNAcentral's name for it is "processed transcript". Lineage: Eukaryota; Metazoa; Chordata; Mammalia; Primates; Hominidae. The record is from RNAcentral.